UUAGAUUUAAAUCAGCUGAGAUAAUCUUAAGACAAGCCCCUAAUCUGGUUGACUCAAUCUUCUUAAGCUAUAUCGGCUAAAGUCCGGUUUUCAGCCAACCUAGCGCCUUAGGGAGGGUUUAUCUUUGGCAAGUUGAGCAGGAUGCUGAGAAAUUUCUUUAUGGAAGUUGAAGAACAAAUUCCCUGCUACAACUUUGCUAGUUGGACCUUAAUGUUUUUCGUCUCCGAAGGUU
Molecule: long non-coding RNA, 232 nt
Filed under: Setaria viridis
Lineage: Eukaryota; Viridiplantae; Streptophyta; Magnoliopsida; Poales; Poaceae
Description: long non-coding RNA (SVIR_LNC002768)
Source: RNAcentral